UUAAAUUGAAGAGUUUGAUCAUGGCUCAGAUUGAACGCUGGCGGCAGGCCUAACACAUGCAAGUCGAACGGUAACAGGAAGCAGCUUGCUGCUUUGCUGACGAGUGGCGGACGGGUGAGUAAUGUCUGGGAAACUGCCUGAUGGAGGGGGAUAACUACUGGAAACGGUGGCUAAUACCGCAUAACGUCGCAAGACCAAAGAGGGGGACCUUCGGGCCU
This 218-nucleotide ribosomal RNA is filed under the name Salmonella enterica subsp. enterica serovar Infantis. Its description in RNAcentral is "partial 16S ribosomal RNA". It matches the Rfam family "Bacterial small subunit ribosomal RNA", at positions 1 to 215 of the family's 1533-position model. Lineage: Bacteria; Pseudomonadati; Pseudomonadota; Gammaproteobacteria; Enterobacterales; Enterobacteriaceae. The record is from RNAcentral.